UUGGGUAUUCGCCAAAUUGGUAAGGCAGCGGACUCUGAAUCCGUAAUUUACUGGUUCGAGCCCAGUAUACCCAAUC
RNAcentral lists this transfer RNA (76 nucleotides) under Levilactobacillus brevis. RNAcentral describes it as "tRNA-Gln(ctg)". It matches the Rfam family "tRNA". From Rfam's summary of the family: Transfer RNA (tRNA) molecules are approximately 80 nucleotides in length. Their secondary structure includes four short double-helical elements and three loops (D, anti-codon, and T loops). The record is from RNAcentral. RNAcentral also lists the same sequence under 6 other names. Lineage: Bacteria; Bacillati; Bacillota; Bacilli; Lactobacillales; Lactobacillaceae.